This 253-nucleotide ribosomal RNA is filed under the name uncultured bacterium. RNAcentral describes it as "partial 16S ribosomal RNA". It matches the Rfam family "Bacterial small subunit ribosomal RNA", at positions 524 to 776 of the family's 1533-position model. The record is from RNAcentral.
UACGUAGGGUGCAAGCGUUGUCCGGAAUUAUUGGGCGUAAAGAGCUCGUAGGCGGUCUGUCACGUCGGCUGUGAAAACCCGGGGCUCAACCCCGGGCCUGCAGUCGAUACGGGCAGACUAGAGUGCGGUAGGGGAGACUGGAAUUCCUGGUGUAGCGGUGAAAUGCGCAGAUAUCAGGAGGAACACCGGUGGCGAAGGCGGGUCUCUGGGCCGUAACUGACGCUGAGGAGCGAAAGCGUGGGGAGCGAACAGG